GCUCACACCGCAGCGCUGCGGGAGAAAGGCGAGCGGGAAGCUGACGGUGCGCAGUGCAAAUCGCGGUUUCCCUGCAGGAAGAGCUGAGUCCCCGCACACCGCACACCGCACACCGCACACCGCACACCGCCGCUCAGCCACGGGGAGGAGUGGGAGUUUGCUCGGGGGCUGCUUUACAGCUGCGCUAAGAGCGGCUCGGAGCGGUUCUGUGCUGGGCACUGCGGUGCAUACACCGACCUUCCAUUCCUCCAAGCAUGGCUGCUUCAUCCGAAUCAUGGAGCCACUGCUCAUCGGCGGAUUAAUGACUAUUUCCAGCAAACAAUGCUUUGAAAAGACGCUCCUAAAGGCAAAGCAAAGAUUGGCAGAAACGCUCACAGCAGCUUAGCACGGAGCUGCCUCAAUGUCUGCCCAAUGCCCAGCCUGGCUCAGCAGUGAGCUCUGGGCAGGGUUUGAGCACGGAGCUGUGGGUGCCUGGAUGAGCUGUGAGGCACAACAUGAGCAAAGCCAUAGCAAAGAGCACUGUGAGCAGAGGAGUACAUUGGACUGAGAGUACCCACCUCUGCCGGGAUCCACACAACUUCAUCUCUCCGAGCAGCACAGCCCCCAGUGUUGGACGGAUGGCCCCAAAACCUCUGAGGUGGUGGCACAGAUCCAUCAGCAUGUGGAACACAGGACCGCAGCGUGGGCUGGCAGCGCCAGGAUUGCACUCUGUGAGCAGCAGUGAUUAUUUCGGAUUUCUGCUAUAAAUAGCUGGGGCUCCGUGUGCCUUUCAGCCUUGGCUUUGGGGAGAGGUGAGGACUACAGAGGGAAAUCCCAGCAGCGGGACUGGCCCUGAUCUGCUGUGAAGUGAGUUCAUCUGACCUGCUCACCCCCGUGUGCCCUGCCCUGGUUUUAUUCGUGAUUACAGACUUCAAAUACGCUGUAAAAGGAACCCGUAUACAACCCUUCAAAAUCACUUAAGUGGGCCAAUGACAGAAGUACCAGCCCUGCAAGUACAUACAGAGCACUGCGGAAAUCAUCCCCGGUGUUUAUUUAUGAGCCACUUUUAAUUAUUCAGCGGGAAUGAAUGAAAGAGGUGGAAAAUGGGAAGCGACAGAGGGCUUUGCAUUGAGUUACAGCUCGUGGAGAGCAAAGGGAGAGAUCACGGCGCUUUCAAGUCGCGAUGGUUGGAGGGUAUAAUUACACCCUGCUGCUUUAUGGGCCAAACCUCAGAGAAUUCAAUGGCAAACUGUGUUUCAGAGAGCGUGAGGAGCCCUCAGAAGGCUUCACACAGCACUGAGGAAGAGCAGAAUGCUUCACAUAGGCAGCAGCAGGCAUGGCAGAGCCCUGGGCUCAGCAAGGUCACCUGUCUGAAGGGGAGCUGCACGGACAGCAGUGCGAGUUCUGCUUGGCACGUCUGCAGGGAGCAGAUAUGGAGAAGGAGAAGUGCUGCGAUGCCACGUGGUUAGCUGAAAAGUGUUUUCUCUGCAGCUCCCACAGGAAAGGCCCAUGACUGAGAAAGAACAUGGUGUUCGUUCAUUGGGACAAGCUGAUCUUCAAGCUGAUUUGUGUUAAUUUGGAAAGUGAGAUCUUUUUUUUGUUGUUGUUGUUCCCCCUUUCUUUUUCCAGGAAAAAUGGAGCUGUCUGGUUUUGAUCACUUGGUGUGCUCAGCACCAAAGCCCUCAGAGUAAAUAUCUCCUAUGAAGGACAUUAAGGACCAACUCAUGGGGAGCAGCAGCAGGAAAACACUGCCAUAAACCCAAUACACAUCACGGUGCAUUCGUUUGUUACUUGGCACUGUAGCCGGGGCAGGGAAAACAUAGGAAGGCAUGGAGCAGAAUGGUGCCUCGGGGUGAUGAGUACAGCUGGGGCAGUGUGAUUAGCCCCAAGUGGCAGAGUCCUCCAUGCGCCCUGCAAGGCAGCUGAUGGCUCUGUGCUCCCUUUCCUGCUGGCUAUGGGAGGAAGGAGGGGAUGACCGGGCACGGUGCAAGCCAGCCUUGCUUUCCAUUCGAAUCCUAGAACCGUAGCCAAAGAAAACAAAGAAAUAGAAAAAGAAAGACGACGCACGGCAGCGUGCUGCUGCUGGAGGAAGGCCGAUAAGGCGGCAGCUGCUGCUCUUCCUCUGGGCUGCCCAGCAGAAAGCUGAAGGCAGCGCCGCCCGGCUCCUCACCCCAGCGCCGGGGAACGGCUUUAAGGAGCCGUGAUGCUCAGCGGGCUGAUAGGCAGAGCGGACGGCAGACCUUCCAGCUUCCUUCUGCCUUCCGAGCACACUCUGCCCAUUGGGCCCCGCUGUAGUGUCACCUCGGGGAUCUCUGUGGUGUUAAAGCGAACUUCUGCACAAGAGCGAGCAACUCCCGUUUGCACCCCCGCCGGUAUUUCUUCCCCAGAAGUGAACUUGCUGCUCUUCGCCGCGAGAUGGAGCCUUCAGAUCGAGCCCUUUCCCUUAGGGUUGGUGGUUGUCUAAAGCAAUUAAGCCUCAUUUAGAGAUCGCACGUGUUUAGUUUUCUCAGAUUACUAUCUGUGGGUCUUUAUUAUUUUUUUUUGUUAAUGAAUCAUAUUUUUCAUCAUCUCUCUCUCUUUUAUCUGAUACGAGGAAACUGCAAAGGCUGCCAGAAUGGGUGCUGCUCCAGCCCAGCUCUGCAGAGGAGGACAGUGAACAAUGCAGCUCUUCUUCCUGGAGAAGCAUCACUCACAGCAUCACAGAAUGGUUGGGUUGGAAGGAACCUCAAGGACCACGAAGCUCCAACACUCCUGCUGCAGGCAGGGCCACCAACCUCCACACUCCAUACCAGCCCAGGCUGCCCAGGGCCCCAUCCAACCUGGCCUUGAACACCUGCAGGGAUGGAUGGGGCAUCCACAGCCCCUCUGGCAGCUGUUCCAGCACCUCACCACUCUCAUAGUAAAGAACUUCCCCUCUGACAUCCAACCUAAAUCUUCCCUCCUUCAACGUUAAACCGUUUCCCCUUGUCCUGCUCGAUGCAUUGCUCGAUGCCACACCACAGGGACAAAGCAGCUGCAGAAAGUGUGUGUUGUGCAAAAGCUGGGGCACGAGUGGGGGCUAAAAGGGACACCUGGAUGGCAGCAUGCUGUCCUUCUCUCUGUUCACCUUCUAGCUCAAUUCUACUUCUGAAAUCUGCCCCCAUUCCAUAUCCUACUGUUCUUCCUGAAGGGCAACGGAAAAGGAUGGCUCUGCUCUUUGGCACCAGCAGAGCUGCUCCUGCCCUGCCUGCUGUGCACCCAUCUGCCACGCUCCUCCCCGGCCUCUGCCCACAGCCACGUCCCCAAAUACCCCGAGAUCUCACUUCCCUUUGGUUUCACUGCCUUUCAGCCCCGAGGGACCAAAUGUUUUGUUUUGCUCUGUGCGUUUCCACGUUCAUCUUUCAUCUUCUGUUUGAAGCUAUUGUGAAGAAGCUGCGAAAAGCAAUGUGGCCCUGGUGCUCCUCUGAUGGCACUCGGGCUCUGGAGAGGUGUCUGAAAGCUGACAGCAGAGCUCUGUGCUGCUGGGAGGAACCAACUUCUGCGUUUGGGCACCCCACUCUGUGGGGAUUGGGGCCAGGACGGGUUGGAGCAGAACCCCAAAGUCUGAAUGCAAUUCAGUGUUUGCCAGAAGGCAGGGACUGAUAAGGCCUGCUGGGCUCUCAGUGCACCUCUUUAGGCACAUAGUGACAAGGAAAAGGUUCAGCUCAGCGAGGAGCAGGCAGUGGCCACUGCUCUGCUGCCUCUGCCCUGUGUGGGCAGCCCUGCCCCGUGAAGCCCUUCCCUUCCCAGACUUAAAACCAACGCCCUCCUGAGUGCCUUCCUGUACCAGCUCCUUUCUGCUCUCUCUCUCUCUCUAUUUUCUGGGGUCACAGCAAAGAGCAGCACUGGGGCAGCACCCAUGGGACCAUAAUGUGUUUGUAGCACACGGACAGACACACGCAGAGCAUUGCUGCUGAGUUCACUGCAGGUCCUCUGGUGCUGCUGUCAAACCUUCAUUUUCAGGUGUUGGAAAUCAUUUGUUUCCCUUCAUCUGUUUUCUGUCCGCAGAUGGUGCUUCCUCUGUAGGUGAUGGACUCGAGGUGACAGUGAUGGCUCAGUGCUUCCUCAUAUAAGCAGAGCUCCAGAACCACCCUCAGCACAGUGCUGCGCAAUGGCUGCAAUGCUUCGCAGAGGAUCAGUGUGUGUAUGUAAAUGGCAGAAUGUUCUCAAGCAGCACUGGAUUUUGCAUUUUAGCAAGGAUUUCCUUCCCAACUCCUCCUUCCUCAGUGCUGCUCAGUACCUCUUUCCCACUCCUGCCCCUUGUUCUUCCCUGCCCAGCUCUUUGCCCUGCAUGGCACGUUCCAGCCCCUCCUUUCUUGCUGAUCUCUGUGAUUAAAAGGUGGUGAGCAACACGGUUAUGAAAGCAAUGAUCUGUGCUGUAUCUUCAGAGGAAUGUCCACCUGCACUGUCUGCAGGAUGGAAACCAGCAGGGAGGCUGCUCCUUACCCUUCUGGCGCAAUGAUUGAACAGAUACUGCCCUCAGUUAAUAACAAUUCCCAAUAACUCUUGAAAUGAAGCAGACACAGCUCUGCUAAUUAAGGUGAAAAAGCAGCUCAUCCAAAUAACUUUCCUCAGAAAGCACGUCCAAUGACACUUCUAUCUGUUACGCUGUGUGUAGUUAUUAUCCCCAGUAGGUUAUACAGGAUGCAAGUGGGAGAAUUUCUGAUGCUCUCAUUAAUUUUGGUGGCAACUUUCUGUACUGGGAAUCAUCAUUCACCUCCACCCAUUGGAAGCAGUUGAAUUUCAGGAAGGUGGCAGUGCACACAUGGCACAGGGUUAAAUUUGGGUUAAAGACAGCAUCAUCUCCAGGCCUCUGGCAAAUGAGGCGGAGUAAGCAGGACACAGCAGGGGAGAUCAGGUCCUUCACAAAUGGGAAUAUUCACUUGGGAAGAAGUAGGAGAAAAUAACCUAGAAAUAAGGUCACUGGUCUCCAGACAGCCCCAUGGGAAAGCCAAGUAGUGCUGAGAGUAAUUUUCCUGCUUAGUGUGGCAGGCGUGUGGGCACACAUCAUAGGGAAGUGAGAGCAAUACAGGCUUUGGACAAUACUAGAAACCCCAAGAGACCACGAAGAGCCCUUAACCCUUUGGGUAAACGGUCCCAUGUGAACACCCAGCACAUUAACUUAUUGUUGCACGAGGCUGGGAAAUGGUUUGGAUCUUAGUUUAUGUGAGCAUUACCAAAGAAUAAAACAUUGCAACAUAUCUGUCAGGAACUGUAUUUCUCUGUGCUACAAUCCUUGAAGAAGAGGAAGUAAACACACUGCUGGCUCUGCACGACUCUUCCUGUAGGGCAACUGCAUUGUCAUCCCCAGGAAAUGCAACACCAAGCCCUGAAAUGAUCUGCACUGUAAAGGGCUGCUACAAUUCUGAGAGCUGUUAAAUUGCAGAGGAACAGAGCUGUGUUUGAUUGGGCAGAACGGUCAGGUUCCUGGGAACCCUUCAUCCUCAGCUGUAUGGUGGAAGAAGAGUGGGGAGUCAGAAACAGGGCAUGGGGAACGUGGCCUCCUCCAUAUCACUGCAGCCGGGUGAGAUGAGGUUAUGGAGGAAAAGGCCAUGGUGUCACGGAGCAGAGCCACAGUUCCCCCCUGUCCCAAAGCUGUUCCCACCACUCCCCAGGGCUCUGCCUGAGCUUGAAUCUCAACACUGGUUGGGGUGUGAAUGUCCCAGUCAGACCAUAGGGAACUGUGGCUUUGUCGGUUUGUAGGUUUGGGUCUGUUGGUUGGUUUGGGUUUAUUUGUGGUGGCGUUGUCACUGUUUUGCAUUACUGAGUGCAUGAACCAGAAACUCAGAGUGUUUUACUCAGUCACCUGGGGAUUACAGCAGAUUCCAGGCUGACCAUGAGCCAAUAGCAUGCUUUUGUCUCAGACAGAGAAAACCACACGUUGGCUUACAGUAGGAUGAGGGAAACCAUUACCGCCUUCUACUCUGUGAGGCCUUUCAUUCAGCUUUGCUGCAGCUGCUGCUGGGCCAAGGACAUCAAGACACCACGUGUGGGGCCAGGAAGAAGAAAUGUGUGCAAUGGACACCUACUGUGGCUUGGGAAACCCAACUGAACAUUAGGAAUAUAAAGAUCAGUAGGGAGGUUUGGCGGUGGGUUGAGUAGUAUGGUUAGGUGGAGGUUGCAUGGUCUUGAAGGUCUCUUCCAACCUGAGCAAUUUGAUGAUCCGAUGAUAAGGCGGUGUAGUACUGGAACAGGUCACUGAGGCCAGUUGGAGACUCCCCAUCCUUAGGGAUUUUCAAGACUCAGCUGCACAAAACCCCACUGAACACUGAUGGAAGCUCUUCCUUGGGUGGGAGGUUGGACGAGACGCCCAACAGAAUUCCUCUCCACCAAACAUUUCCAUAUUUCUAUGACCUUAAAUUCAGGCAAAUGCACGUGCCCUUAGCACAAGUGUGUAAGAUUUCGAUGUAUUUCUAACUGCUUUCAGAUCCAGGGAGUUUCACACGAAAGUGCAACAGAAAAAAGUGUGCAGCUUUAAAGCAUUUCUUAAUCCCACCCCUUUAGAAUCUGAGUGCUGUUUACUCUGCUGUCUGCUGGAGAUCCAACACGUUCAAAAAUAGCAUGGCAUGGGGUCCCAUCAAAGCCUUCUAACAUCACCAGGUGUCUCCUCAGCAUGAAAACAAAUUCUUUGAAGAGAUUGCUUGGAAGAGGAAAAUAAAGUACCGCAAGUGAGCUCCUGUGCUGUGAUGUGGUAUCGGAUGUACAGAAAACAUCUGCAGUAAAACUCGUCUGCAAAAGUGAGGCAGGCAGAUUUCCCCUCUGUGUACAUGAAGAGCCACCUUUUCUGAAUUAAUAAUAAUAAAAACAAGGAUAAUUGUAUUGGGAUCUGUUUGGACACCAUAAUAUUUGGUACGAGCAUCAAGCUUAG
This 6865-nucleotide long non-coding RNA is filed under the name Gallus gallus (chicken). RNAcentral describes it as "lncRNA (ENSGALG00010019619.1)". Lineage: Eukaryota; Metazoa; Chordata; Aves; Galliformes; Phasianidae. The record is from RNAcentral.